CCUACGGGUGGCAGCAGUGAGGAAUAUUGGUCAAUGGGCGCGACCCUGAACCAGCCACGUAGCGUGAAGGAUGAAUGCCCUCGGGGUUGUAAGCUUCUUUUAUAAAGGAAUAAAGUGUGGCACGUGUGGCAUUUUGUAUGUACUUUAUGAAUACGGAUCCGCCAACUCCGUGCCGGCAGCCGCGGUAAUACGGAGGAUCCGAGCGUUAUCCGGAUUUAUUGGGUGUAAAGGGAGCGUAGAUGGGUUGUUAAGUCAGUUGUGAAAGUUUGCGGCUCAACCGUAAAAUUGCAAUUGAUACUGGGAGCGUUGAGUACAGUAGAGGUAGGCGGAAUUCGUGGUGUAGCGGUGAAAUGCGUAGAUAUCACGAAGAACUCCGAUUGCGAAGGCAGCCUACUGGACUGCAACUGACAUUGAGGCUCGAAAGUGUGGGUAUCAAACAGGAUUAGAUACCCCAGUAGUC
This 460-nucleotide ribosomal RNA is filed under the name uncultured bacterium. RNAcentral describes it as "partial 16S ribosomal RNA". It matches the Rfam family "Bacterial small subunit ribosomal RNA", at positions 338 to 795 of the family's 1533-position model. The record is from RNAcentral.